GGUCUUUUCGACGGCCUUGCCGCCGAGCGGGAUCUUGGAGAUCCCGAGGUCGGUCGGCUUGACCAUCUGGUUGGUGCCGUCCCCGUUGGAGACCA
RNAcentral lists this transfer RNA (95 nucleotides) under compost metagenome. Its description in RNAcentral is "tRNA-Pro". The record is from RNAcentral.